CAUGGAGUCUGGGUCCCCCUCAUCACUAUAUACCAAGCAAGAGUCUGCACUAUACCACCGGACCACCAGGGAGUGUAAUGUCCCCCCUCCCUGGCCACGGGUAAAAAGCAAGGAGGGAGGGAACAAAAUAAAACAUUUUUUUUAAAAUGUCUAAAUAAAACCCACUACAUACACCCUACAUCACACACACAGUGCAUGCACUAUAUUCACACACUCCUUGCAUCCACGC
This is a non-coding RNA of Pelobates cultripes (western spadefoot toad), 229 nucleotides long. NCBI's taxonomy places the organism in Eukaryota, Metazoa, Chordata, Amphibia, Anura, Pelobatidae. The record is from the annotation of a GenBank genome assembly.